Molecule: ribosomal RNA, 234 nt
Filed under: uncultured Actinomycetales bacterium
Lineage: Bacteria; Bacillati; Actinomycetota; Actinomycetes; Actinomycetales
Description: partial 16S ribosomal RNA
Rfam family: Bacterial small subunit ribosomal RNA
Source: RNAcentral
CGAACGGGUGAGUAACACGUGAGCAACCUGCCCUUGACUUUGGGAUACCAGCUGGAAACAGCUGCUAAUACCGGAUAUGACCUUCUUACGCAUGUUUGGGGGUGGAAAGCUCCGGCGGUCAGGGAUGGGCUCGCGGCCUAUCAGCUUGUUGGUGAGGUAAUGGCUCACCAAGGCUUCGACGGGUAGCCGGCCUGAGAGGGCGACCGGCCACACUGGGACUGAGAUACGGCCCAG